This 73-nucleotide transfer RNA is filed under the name Acidobacteriota bacterium. Its description in RNAcentral is "Acidobacteria bacterium (rhizosphere metagenome) tRNA-Arg". It matches the Rfam family "tRNA". Rfam says of the family: Transfer RNA (tRNA) molecules are approximately 80 nucleotides in length. Lineage: Bacteria; Pseudomonadati; Acidobacteriota. The record is from RNAcentral. RNAcentral also lists the same sequence under 2 other names.
GCUCCCGUAGCUCAGUGGAUAGAGCACCCGCCUCCUAAGCGGGGGGUCGCAAGUUCAAGUCUUGCCGGGAGCA